RNAcentral lists this ribosomal RNA (497 nucleotides) under uncultured bacterium. Its description in RNAcentral is "partial 16S ribosomal RNA". It matches the Rfam family "Bacterial small subunit ribosomal RNA", at positions 28 to 507 of the family's 1533-position model. The record is from RNAcentral.
GAUGAACGCUGGCGGCGUGCCUAAUACAUGCAAGUCGAGCGAACAGACGAGGAGCUUGCUCCUCUGACGUUAGCGGCGGACGGGUGAGUAACACGUGGAUAACCUACCUAUAAGACUGGGAUAACUUCGGGAAACCGGAGCUACUACCGGAUAAUAUAUUGAACCGCAUGGUUCAAUAGUGAAAGACGGUUUUGCUGUCACUUAUAGAUGGAUCCGCGCCGCAUUAGCUAGUUGGUAAGGUAACGGCUUACCAAGGCAACGAUGCGUAGCCGACCUGAGAGGGUGAUCGGCCACACUGGAACUGAGACACGGUCCAGACUCCUACGGGAGGCAGCAGUAGGGAAUCUUCCGCAAUGGGCGAAAGCCUGACGGAACAACGCCGCGUGAGUGAUGAAGGUCUUCGGAUCGUAAAACUCUGUUAUUAGGGAAGAACAAAUGUGUAAGUAACUAUGCACGUCUUGACGGUACCUAAUCAGAAAGCCACGGCUAACUACGUG